GCUGGCGCUGGCACAGGAGCUUGGGAUCCGUCUCCUCUUUCGCCUCCUCCACCUUGGGAGCCCCGGGCUACUCUCUCACAGCCCUUGUUGCCCUGUGAUCUGAAGGUCCUUGGGGACGCAUAGUUAAGGUGCCAGGACAUCCUGGAAGCUGGGAAAUGAUUGUUGCAGUGUCAGGACCAAGGUCAAAUGAGUUAUAGCCAAGUCUACAGUAAGAUGUGGCAGUAUUCUGUUUUGAAGCCGGGACCAUGAUUGGUAAGCUUGCCACUUGGUCAAGUGCUCACCCUCUGAAGAUGUCUUCCUUGGUCUUUGCCUCCAGCUGGGUGUCACAAACUCUGAACUGGAUUCCAAGGCUUUCAUGAAUUCACUUAUGUUUGCUGUGGCAGCUGCAUUAUGUCGUGGGGGAUGUGGAUGCAGAACCUCACAUUCUGUCAUCUUGCUUAUGUUACUCUCCUUUAUGUUUCACUUUCUCAAAUGAAUGUCAAGCAGGUGAUUUUCAGAUUCAAAAGUUCUAAAAUAAAUUGCUCAAAUUUACACAUUAUGUAAGCUGUUAAUAAAAUGUCUUGUAGGUGCUACAUAUUUAUUAAAAUUUUUGGUUGUAAUUUUAAGCUCACUGUAGGCAGAAAGGAAUCAUUAAGAUUUCUAUUCUUUUUUAGUCUGUAUCUAAAUGACCACAUAUUUUAAUUCCAAAUAUUUACUUUAUGCUUCAGUAAUGCUCAUUGUAUUUUGCAAAAUUUAUAUUGUUCUUUUAUUUGAAAAUAUAAGGCUUUUUUUUAGCUCCUGAAAGCUAUA
RNAcentral lists this long non-coding RNA (789 nucleotides) under Pan troglodytes (chimpanzee). RNAcentral describes it as "long non-coding RNA NONPTRT016491". The record is from RNAcentral. Lineage: Eukaryota; Metazoa; Chordata; Mammalia; Primates; Hominidae.